RNAcentral lists this ribosomal RNA (808 nucleotides) under Engystomops petersi (Peters' dwarf frog). RNAcentral describes it as "partial 16S ribosomal RNA". The stretch from base 246 to 362 matches the Rfam family "Bacterial large subunit ribosomal RNA", at positions 714 to 852 of the family's 2925-position model. The record is from RNAcentral. Lineage: Eukaryota; Metazoa; Chordata; Amphibia; Anura; Leptodactylidae.
GCUAAAAACUUAGCCUUANCCCUACAAUUAUAUUUACCCUAUUUUACUUACACAAAAUAAAACAUUCUUUAAGCUUAGUAAAGGAGAUAAAAAAGUUUUUUAGAGCUAUAAAAUAAGUACCGCAAGGGAAAAAUGAAAUAAAAAUGAAACAAAAUUCAAGCAUAAUAUAGUAGAGUUUUCCCCUCGUACCUUUUGCAUCAUGAUUCAACUAGUUUAACCACGCAAAAAGAAUUUAAGUUUGACUUCCCGAAACUAAGUGAGCUACUUCAGGGCAGCUAAAUGAGCCAACCCGUCUCUGUUGCAAAAGAGUGGGAUGACCCUUAAGUAGAGGUGAUAAACCUAACGAACUUAGUGAUAGCUGGUUAUUCAGAAAAAGAAUUUUAGUUCAACUUAAAAUUACAUAAAUAAAAUAAAAUAAAAUUUUAAUUUUAAAGCAAUUCAAAUAAGGUACAGCCUAUUUGAAAUAGAAUACAAUCUAAACUAUAGGGUAAAUAUAAAAAAUUAAUGUAAUAAAGUAGGCCUAAAAGCAGCCAACUUUAAAAUAGCGUCAAAGCUUACUUCCAUAAUUUUUUAAUACUAUUAUUUACAAUGAACCCUUUAUUUUUACUGAAUAUUUCUAUAAAGUUAUAGAACCUUUUAUGUUGAAACUAGUAACAAGAAGUUAAACUUCUCCUCAAUAUAAGUAUAAGUCGACUAGGAUAAACCAUCGACAAUUAACGCUUAAAUUAAAUGUAUUAACUCCACAAGAAAAACUUACAUUACCCCACGUUAAUCUUACACGAGAACAUUUAAGGAAAGAUNNAAAAAA